GGAAGGGUUGUAUUUAUUAGAUAAAGAACCAAUAUAAUUGGUGACUCAUAAUAACUUUACGGAUCACAAUUAAUGUGACAUAUCAUUCAAGUUUCUGACCUAUCAGCUUUAGACGGUAGGGUAUUGGCCUACCGUGGCAAUGACGGGUAACGGGGAAUUAGGGUUCGAUUCCGGAGAGGGAGCCUGAGAAACGGCUACCACAUCUAAGGAAGGCAGCAGGCGGGCAAAUUACCCAAUCCUAAUACAGGGAGGUAGUGACAAGAAAUAACAAUACAGGACUUUUUGGUUUUGUAAUUGGAAUGAGUUAAGUAUAAACCCCUUUACAAGUAUCAAUUGGAGGGCAAGUCUGGUGCCAGCAGCCGCGGUAAUUCCAGCUCCAAUAGCGUAUAUUAAAGUUGUUGCAGUUAAAAAGCUCGUAGUUGGAUUUCUGUUAAUAAUUUAUAUAAAAUAUUUUGAUGAAUAUUUAUAUAAUAUUAACAUAAUUCAUAUUACUAUUUUUUUUUUUAGUAUAUGAAAUUUUACUUUGAGAAAAUUAGAGUGCUUAAAGCAGGCAUAUGCCUUGAAUACUCCAGCAUGGAAUAAUAUUAAAGAUUUUUAUCUUUUUUAUUGGUUCUAAGAUAAGAAUAAUGAUUAAUAGGGACAGUUGGGGGCAUUUGUAUUUAACAGUCAGAGGUGAAAUUCUUAGAUUUGUUAAAGACAAACUAAUGCGAAAGCAUUUGCCAAGGAUGUUUUCAUUAAUCAAGAACGAAAGUUAGGGGAUCGAAGACGAUCAGAUACCGUCGUAGUCUUAACCAUAAACUAUGCCAACUAGAGAUUGGAGGUUGUUCCUUACUCCUU
RNAcentral lists this ribosomal RNA (837 nucleotides) under Cryptosporidium hominis. Its description in RNAcentral is "SSU rRNA". It matches the Rfam family "Eukaryotic small subunit ribosomal RNA", at positions 194 to 1080 of the family's 1831-position model. The record is from RNAcentral. Lineage: Eukaryota; Apicomplexa; Conoidasida; Eucoccidiorida; Cryptosporidiidae.